CAGAGUUGCCUCACUGGUGAAGCUCUGCCUGCAUUAAAAGCAGAUAGGAGGUGUUACAGGGAUUCAUCUUCUCCUCAUUACUGAAACUAUUUUAAAAUCCAAGAUCUGAAAUGGUGUUCAGCUGCCCAAACCAACCAAUGUCAAGAAUCUGAACAACUCCUGCCAGGCCAAAGCUGAUUGGAGACAAAGCUGACUGUCAGCAGGGCCCUUAAAUAUCACUAAUGCUGGUUUCAGUUGAAUUCCAGUUCAAGUCUUUGUUUGCAAGGGGUCAUUCUUCAAUCCAACCAUUACAUGUAAUUCAACAUCAACCCUUCACCAUGGAUAAAGCAAUUGAAGCUCUGCAGUUAUACUGUUUGUGAGCUAUGUUUUACUCUCUGUAUGGCUGCUUUGGAAGCUAUGUACACACAUACUGUUUUAUUCAAGCAAGCUUUUAAUGUAUCAUCAUGUAUGGGAGGCUUUUAUAUGGAG
This is a long non-coding RNA of Sceloporus undulatus (fence lizard), 468 nucleotides long. RefSeq lists it as uncharacterized. The record is from RefSeq and is a predicted model, not a curated record. NCBI's taxonomy places the organism in Eukaryota, Metazoa, Chordata, Lepidosauria, Squamata, Phrynosomatidae. The transcript is spliced from 3 exons.